Molecule: ribosomal RNA, 468 nt
Filed under: uncultured bacterium
Lineage: Bacteria
Description: partial 16S ribosomal RNA
Rfam family: Bacterial small subunit ribosomal RNA
Source: RNAcentral
GACGAACGCUGGCGGCGUGCUUAACACAUGCAAGUCGAACGGAAAGGCCCUGCUUUUGUGGGGUGCUCGAGUGGCGAACGGGUGAGUAACACGUGAGUAACCUGCCCUUGACUUUGGGAUAACUUCAGGAAACUGGGGCUAAUACCGGAUAGGAGCUCCUGCUGCAUGGUGGGGGUUGGAAAGUUUCGGCGGUUGGGGAUGGACUCGCGGCUUAUCAGCUUGUUGGUGGGGUAGUGGCUUACCAAGGCUUUGACGGGUAGCCGGCCUGAGAGGGUGACCGGCCACAUGGGGACUGAGAUACGGCCCAGACUCCAACGGGGGGCAGCAGGGGGGAAUAUUGCACAAUGAGCGGGAGCCUGAUGCAGCGACGCCGCGUGCGGGAUGACGGCCUUCGGGUUGUGAACCGCUUUCGCCUGUGACGAAGCGUGAGUGACGGUAAUGGGUAAAGAAGCACCGGCUAACUACGUG